Molecule: unclassified non-coding RNA, 167 nt
Filed under: soil metagenome
Description: partial internal transcribed spacer 1
Source: RNAcentral
GUGAAUUAAACAUGCUUGGUGUCUUCGCUUCGGCAAGGCCCUUGCUUAAAUCACAUCCUAACACCUGUGAACUGUAAGACGUAUGAUGAGGUCUUUGGCCAAGUCAUCGUCUGCCCCUUUUUAACAAACAAUUAAUGUAACAAACGUAGUCUUAUUAUAACCUAAUA